GACGAACGCUGGCGGCGUGCUUAACACAUGCAAGUCGAACGGUGAAGGGGCCUGCUUUUGUGGGCCCUGGAUGAGUGGCGAACGGGUGAGUAACACGUGAGUAACCUGCCCCCUUCUUCUGGAUAACCGCAUGAAAGUGUGGCUAAUACGGGAUAUUCUGGGUCUGUCGCAUGAUGGGUCUGGGAAAGAUUGCGCCUUUGGGUGUUUUUGGUGGGGGAUGGGCUCGCGGCCUAUCAGCUUGUUGGUGGGGUGAUGGCCUACCAAGGCGGUGACGGGUAGCCGGGAUGAGAGGGUGGAAGGUCACAAUGGGACUGAGACACGGACCAGAAUGCUACGGGAGGCAGCAGUGGGGAAUAUUGCACAAUGGGCGCAAGCCUGAUGCAGCGACGCCGCGUGAGGGAUGGAGGCCUUCGGGUUGUAAACCUCUUUCGCCAGUGAAGCAGGCCUGCUACUUGUGGGUGGGUUGACGGUAGCUGGAUAAGAAGCGCCGGCUAACUACGUG
RNAcentral lists this ribosomal RNA (502 nucleotides) under uncultured bacterium. RNAcentral describes it as "partial 16S ribosomal RNA". It matches the Rfam family "Bacterial small subunit ribosomal RNA", at positions 28 to 507 of the family's 1533-position model. The record is from RNAcentral.